UGGAAAUAUCAGAAAUGAAAAUGUUGGUAUGAGUAACGAUAAACAAUGUGUAAAACAUUGUCGCCUUAAGUUCAAGGUUUCCAAAACAAGGCUAAUCCGUUUUGGUAUUUAUUCGGUCUCUAAGAAAAAAAACGAAAGAUUUAGUUUGAUGAGAUAAAAAUAAUUUUUUUGAUUUUUAGAAGUGACAAAGUAUGAAUAUUAUUUUUAUUUUAUGGUUUAAAUAAAAGUUUUAUAGUAUUUUCUAGAAAAAGCUUCUUUAAACAAAUAGAACCGUACCCUAAACCGACACAGGUGAACAAGUUUAGUAAACUAAGGCGCUUGAGAGAAUUAUGUUGAAGGAACUCGGCAAAAUGACUCCGUAACUUCGGAAUAAGGAGUGACUUUAAAAGGGCAACCUUUUAGAGUUGUCACAAAAUCGGGGACAGCGACUGUUUAUUAAAAACACAGGUUUCUGCUAAUUCGUAAGAAGAUGUAUUGAAACUGACGCCUGCCCAGUGCUGCAAGAUUAAAGAAAAAGGUCUUUUGGCUUUGACCCUAACUCCCAGUAAACGGCGGCUGUAACUCUGACGGUCCUAAGGUAGCGAAAUUCCUUGGCAUUUAAUUGGUGUCCUGCAUGAAUGGCGUAACGACUGUCCCACUGUCUCCAACAUAAACUCAGUGAAAUUGAAAUUUUCGUGAAGAUGCGAAAUUCUUGCGGCUAGACGGAAAGACCCCGUGCACCUUUACUAUAGUUAUACAUUGUAAUAAAAUUUUUUUUGUGUAGUAUAAGUGGGAAGUUGUAAUUUUAGACAUUCACACAAGUGAAUUGUUUAAGAAUCAUUGAAAUACCACUCUAAAAAUUUUUUAUUACUUAUUUUUUAAGACAUUGUAUAAUGGGUAGUUUGACUGGGGCGGUCGCCUCCUAAAGAGUAACGGAGGCGUGCAUAAGGUAAGUUUGAAUUGAAAAUUAUCAAUUUGUAAGCAUAAUAGUAUAUACCUGCUUGACUGUGAGAUUGACAAAUCAAACAGGGACGAAAGUCGGUUAUAGUGAUCCGGUGAUUCUGAGUGGAAAGAUCAUCGCUCAACGAAUAAAAGGUACGCCGGGGAUAACAGGCUAAUCAUUCUCUAGAGACCCUAUCGACGGAAUGGUUUGGCACCUCGAUGUUGGAUUAUCGCAUCCUGGAGCUGUAAGUGGUUCCAAGGGUUUAGCUGUUCGCUAAGGAAGGCGGUACAUGAUCUGAGUUUAGAACGUCGUGAGACAGUUUGGUCCCUAUCUACCGCAAGUGCAAAAAAUUGAAAGGAGUAAACCCUAGUACGAGAGGACCGGGAAAAGUAAAUCCCUGGUGAAUCGAUUGUUAUACCAAUAGCAUAGUCGAGUAGCUACAUUUAUAAUAAAUAAUCGCUGAAAGCAUCUAAGUGAGAAAUUAACCUUAAUACAAAUUUUUUUUUAACUGUAAUAGAUUAUUACAUUGAUAGGCUUGGUGUGUAAGAGUUGUAAAAUUUUCAGCUAACAAGUACUAAAUAUAAAAUUUAAUCAACUUU
Molecule: ribosomal RNA, 1521 nt
Filed under: marine metagenome
Description: bacterial LSU rRNA
Rfam family: Bacterial large subunit ribosomal RNA
Source: RNAcentral